This is a non-coding RNA of Punica granatum (pomegranate), 641 nucleotides long. NCBI's taxonomy places the organism in Eukaryota, Viridiplantae, Streptophyta, Magnoliopsida, Myrtales, Lythraceae. The record is from RefSeq and is a predicted model, not a curated record.
UGUGUUGUGGAUUGCAAUGCGUUGCAGGUAUGAGUUUCAAAUCCGUGUUGGAGGAUAGCCAGGAUCAUGUAGACAUCCGAGGAUUGUCAUCUUAUUUACUCCGUCUCCGCCCACCUUGCCACCAUUUCGCAUUUACAGAUUCACAAGCCAAAGAAGGAAUUAGAGUCGCAGCAAAAGGUGAAAGGAGCUCUAGAAACUCGUGCAACUGAGGCUGAGAACAAGAUGCUUGAAUUGAACUCGGAACUAGAAAAAGCGAGUCUUCUUUGUUUUUUUCUUUUCUUUCUGUAUUGAUGAAUUCAAGUUACAUUUUUAUAUAUAUAGAAAAAAAAUCUACAUUUAUAAUUAUAUAAAGAUCGGGAUUCCGAUCUCCAACAGCAGAAAGUUGUGCAGGGGCAGGCCGCUGUCUUCGACGAGGUUCCGAGGCAAUGAAGGAAAACUGUGGCACAGAUCAUUACAUUGGGACACGUACCAUAAGCGGACAGCCCGAGUCUGAAAGGAGCUCCACAGCAGAUCGAUCCACGUGUCUUUCGUCUAUGGAGACUUGAUACAGCAGGACUCAUUGUAGUCGUCUAAGAGCCGUGGUUUGACAGUGUCUCCUGUGCACACUAGUUGCUUUACAUUUAUCCCAUAAUGCUAUUCCG